GCGACCUGUGUGCAUGCGGUGUACGGA
RNAcentral lists this small RNA (27 nucleotides) under Bombyx mori (domestic silkworm). RNAcentral describes it as "ovarian small RNA-16799". The record is from RNAcentral. Lineage: Eukaryota; Metazoa; Arthropoda; Insecta; Lepidoptera; Bombycidae.